RNAcentral lists this ribosomal RNA (473 nucleotides) under uncultured Planctomycetaceae bacterium. Its description in RNAcentral is "bacterial SSU rRNA". It matches the Rfam family "Bacterial small subunit ribosomal RNA", at positions 29 to 505 of the family's 1533-position model. The record is from RNAcentral. Lineage: Bacteria; Pseudomonadati; Planctomycetota; Planctomycetia; Planctomycetales; Planctomycetaceae.
AAUGAACGUUGGCGGCGUGGAUUAGGCAUGCAAGUCGCACGAGAAACCAAUUAGCUUGCUAUGAGGUGGACAGUGGCGCAAGGGAGAGUAACGUGUGGUUACUUGCCCUCGAGACCGGGAUAGUGUCGGGAAACUGGCAGUAAUACCGGAUAACAUCUUCGGAUCAAAUGGUGUGAUUCCGCUCGAGGAUAGGACCGCAUACUAUUAGCUUGUUGGUGAGGUAACGGCUCACCAAGGCUGCGAUGGUUACCGGGUGUGAGAGCAUGGCCCGGCUCACUGGGACUGAGACACUGCCCAGACACCUACGGGUGGCUGCAGUCGAGAAUCUUCGGCAAUGGGCGAAAGCCUGACCGAGCGACGCCGCGUGCGGGAUGAAGGCCCUCGGGUUGUAAACCGCUGUCAGUUUGGAGGAAAUGCAUGGUGGUCAUCCAUCAUGCUUGACCGAUAUUCAGAGGAAGGACGGGCUAAGUUCG